UGUGCGCGAGUCAUGGAGUGUGACGAAACUUACAGGCGCAAUGAAAGUGAAGGCUCGUCUUUAGACGUGCCCAGGUAGGAUCCCCCCGCUCGCGGCGGGGCGCACUACUGGCCCGUCUCGAAUCUCUUCGUAGAUGAGGCGGAGCAAGAGCGUACACGUUGGGACCCGAAAGAAUGGUGAACUAUGCCUGAGUAGGAUGAAGCCAGAGGAAACUCUGGUGGAAGUCCGUAGCGAUUCUGACGUGCAAAUCGAUCGUCAAACUUUGGUAUAGGGGCGAAAGACUAAUCGAACCAU
RNAcentral lists this ribosomal RNA (294 nucleotides) under Maldane sarsi. RNAcentral's name for it is "partial 28S ribosomal RNA". It matches the Rfam family "Eukaryotic large subunit ribosomal RNA", at positions 681 to 943 of the family's 3401-position model. The record is from RNAcentral. Lineage: Eukaryota; Metazoa; Annelida; Polychaeta; Maldanidae.